This is a small nuclear RNA of Myotis myotis, 104 nucleotides long. The record is from RefSeq and is a predicted model, not a curated record. Lineage: Eukaryota; Metazoa; Chordata; Mammalia; Chiroptera; Vespertilionidae.
GUGCUCACUUCCGCAGCACAUAUACUAAAAUUCAAACGAUACAGAGAUUAGGAUGGCCCUUGCGCAAGGAUGACGCGCAAAUUUGUGAAGCAUUUUAUAUUUAA